GGCGUUAGCGAAAGCCCCCAAGUCGAUGACGGCAUCAAAGACACCACACCUUCCUAAAUAGAUCGGCAAUGCCCUUGCCAAACGGAAAGCUUAACAUCACCUCUAUCGCGCCCUUUCCGAUCGGAAGGUUUGCGUCACCUCCGCGAGCACCAUCUCAAACGGGUGAUGUCACACCUGCCAUUCGGCAGGCGUCGCACUGAAGGUAGGAGACUGCCCCAAAAAUCC
This 225-nucleotide long non-coding RNA is filed under the name Prunus persica (peach). RNAcentral's name for it is "long non-coding RNA (PPER_LNC007614)". The record is from RNAcentral. Lineage: Eukaryota; Viridiplantae; Streptophyta; Magnoliopsida; Rosales; Rosaceae.